This 677-nucleotide ribosomal RNA is filed under the name Staphylococcus warneri. RNAcentral's name for it is "bacterial SSU rRNA". It matches the Rfam family "Bacterial small subunit ribosomal RNA", at positions 111 to 771 of the family's 1533-position model. Lineage: Bacteria; Bacillati; Bacillota; Bacilli; Caryophanales; Staphylococcaceae. The record is from RNAcentral.
UAACACGUGGAUAACCUACCUAUAAGACUGGGAUAACUUCGGGAAACCGGAGCUAAUACCGGAUAACAUAUUGAACCGCAUGGUUCAAUAGUGAAAGGCGGCUUUGCUGUCACUUAUAGAUGGAUCCGCGCCGUAUUAGCUAGUUGGUAAGGUAACGGCUUACCAAGGCAACGAUACGUAGCCGACCUGAGAGGGUGAUCGGCCACACUGGAACUGAGACACGGUCCAGACUCCUACGGGAGGCAGCAGUAGGGAAUCUUCCGCAAUGGGCGAAAGCCUGACGGAGCAACGCCGCGUGAGUGAUGAAGGUCUUCGGAUCGUAAAACUCUGUUAUCAGGGAAGAACAAAUGUGUAAGUAACUGUGCACAUCUUGACGGUACCUGAUCAGAAAGCCACGGCUAACUACGUGCCAGCAGCCGCGGUAAUACGUAGGUGGCAAGCGUUAUCCGGAAUUAUUGGGCGUAAAGCGCGCGUAGGCGGUUUUUUAAGUCUGAUGUGAAAGCCCACGGCUCAACCGUGGAGGGUCAUUGGAAACUGGAAAACUUGAGUGCAGAAGAGGAAAGUGGGAAUUCCAUGUGUAGCGGUGAAAUGCGCAGAGAUAUGGAAGGAACACCAGUGGCGAAGGCGACUUUUCUGGGUCUGUAACUGACGCUGAUGUGCGAAAGCGUGGGGAUCAA